CCUACGGGUGGCUGCAGUGGGGAAUAUUGCACAAUGGGCGCAAGCCUGAUGCAGCCAUGCCGCGUGUGUGAAGAAGGCCUUCGGGUUGUAAAGCACUUUCAGCGGGGAGGAAGGCGGUGAGGUUAAUAACCUCAUCGAUUGACGUUACCCGCAGAAGAAGCACCGGCUAACUCCGUGCCAGCAGCCGCGGUAAUACGGAGGGUGCAAGCGUUAAUCGGAAUUACUGGGCGUAAAGCGCACGCAGGCGGUCUGUCAAGUCGGAUGUGAAAUCCCCGGGCUCAACCUGGGAACUGCAUUCGAAACUGGCAGGCUAGAGUCUUGUAGAGGGGGGUAGAAUUCCAAGUGUAGCGGUGAAAUGCGUAGAGAUCUGGAGGAAUACCGGUGGCGAAGGCGGCCCCCUGGACAAAGACUGACGCUCAGGUGCGAAAGCGUGGGGAGCAAACAGGAUUAGAUACCCUAGUAGUC
Molecule: ribosomal RNA, 465 nt
Filed under: uncultured Klebsiella sp.
Lineage: Bacteria; Pseudomonadati; Pseudomonadota; Gammaproteobacteria; Enterobacterales; Enterobacteriaceae
Description: bacterial SSU rRNA
Rfam family: Bacterial small subunit ribosomal RNA
Source: RNAcentral